AUUCAACCAACGAGUCCAAAAUAGGACGGAACACGCGUCCUGGAU
RNAcentral lists this non-coding RNA (45 nucleotides) under Schistosoma margrebowiei. Lineage: Eukaryota; Metazoa; Platyhelminthes; Trematoda; Strigeidida; Schistosomatidae. The record is from RNAcentral.